UACAGAGGGUGCGAGCGUUAAUCGGAUUUACUGGGCGUAAAGCGUGCGUAGGUGGUUAUUCAAGUCGGUUGUGAAAUCCUCGGGCUCAACCUGGGAACUGCUUCCGAGACUGAAAGACUAGAGUACGGUAGAGGGUGGUGGAAUUUCCGGUGUAGCGGUGAAAUGCGUAGAUAUCGGAAGGAACAUCAAUGGCGAAGGCAGCCCCCUGGGCCUGUACUGACACUGAGGCACGAAAGCGUGGGGAGCAAACAGG
This 253-nucleotide ribosomal RNA is filed under the name uncultured bacterium. RNAcentral describes it as "partial 16S ribosomal RNA". It matches the Rfam family "Bacterial small subunit ribosomal RNA", at positions 524 to 776 of the family's 1533-position model. The record is from RNAcentral.